This 31-nucleotide non-coding RNA is filed under the name Mus musculus (house mouse). The record is from RNAcentral. Lineage: Eukaryota; Metazoa; Chordata; Mammalia; Rodentia; Muridae.
UCCGGCCAUCGACUGGACUAAGUACUCUUGC